Molecule: long non-coding RNA, 292 nt
Filed under: Prunus dulcis (almond)
Lineage: Eukaryota; Viridiplantae; Streptophyta; Magnoliopsida; Rosales; Rosaceae
Description: sRNA ncRNA
Source: RNAcentral
ACUCGCACCACACGGCAGAGUGGCUCUGAUACCAAAUUGUCACAUCCCGGGAUCGACUCCGCCGUAGCACGAUAUUGUCCGUUUUGGGCCCCCAUCCGCACGGUUUUGUUUCUGGGAGCUCACGAGCAACUUCCCAGUGGGUCACCCAUCCUGGGAUUGCUCUAGCCCCCAACUCGCUUAACUUCGAAGUUCCUACGACUCCGAAGCCAGUGAGCUCCCAAAAGGCCUCGUGCUAGAUGGAUGCGGGUGUGCAUAUAUAAGGCACAUCACCCCCUCUCCGUUGGUUGAUGUG